Long non-coding RNA from Carcharodon carcharias (great white shark), 2093 nucleotides. RefSeq lists it as uncharacterized. NCBI's taxonomy places the organism in Eukaryota, Metazoa, Chordata, Chondrichthyes, Lamniformes, Lamnidae. The record is from RefSeq and is a predicted model, not a curated record. The transcript is spliced from 4 exons.
UGUGUGGACAAGUUUGCAACAGAUCUUCCAACCUGGAGAGACACAAAGACACCCACACCAUUGAGAAACCGUGGAAAUGUGGGGAUUAUGGGAAGGGAUUCAGUUUCCCAUCCCAAUUGGAAACUCACCGACGCAGUCACACUGGGGAGAGACCGUUCACCUGCUCUGUGUGUGGAAAGGAAUUCACUAAGUCAUCCAGCCUGUGGUCACACCAGAGAGUUCACAGUCACGAGAGGCCUUUUAAAUGUUUUUACUGUGGAGAUUGCUUUAAAACCUCUCCUGAUCUAAUUAAACACCAGCUUGUUCACACUGACAAGAGACCAUUCAGUUGCUCUCACUGUGAGAAGAGAUUCAGACAAUCAUCUCACCUUAUUCAACAUCAGCGAGUUCACACUGGGGAAAGGAUAUUCACCUGCUCUGUGUGUGGGAAGCGAUUCACUCAGUCAUCCAAUCUCCAGAUACACCAACGCACUCACAGUGGGGAGAGGCCAUUCACCUGCUCCGAAUGUGGGAAGGGAUACAAUCGACCAUCCAACUUGUUGAGACACCAGCGGGUUCAUGUGUGACUGCAGGGAUUGGAUGCUGCUGUUAAUCACAUGCUUUGUUUAUUUCUGCUGAAGGCAAUAACUCUUAUUACUGGGCCAGAGUUUAAAGUUCUUUGCAGGGCAGGUGCUGUGCUGGGACUGCAGCAAGUAGGAGUUUCUGGAGAAUAUUGAGAUCCUGGACUAUCAUUUCUGCGGUGAGUGUCUGCAGCUCAGGAAACCUGGGCUCAGGGUUAUUGAGCUGCAGACAUCAGGGAGGGGGAGAGUCAGCUGGACACUUUCUUUCAGGAAGCAGUCACAGCCCCAAGUUUCUGGAGAAAUUUACAGUUAGUCAAUGGUCAGGAUAUAUCAGAAUAUGUCAAGGAAAUCAAUUUUAUCAUCUGUGGUCUUAAUUUCUCUGGGUUAAGAGGAGAGAAACUGACAUCUGGACUUAGUGUGUGUCAGUCAAGGCACCUUUCCCUUCUUUAAGACGCUGGAACAUUGAUUCUGACGUUAUCAGUGAAAUUAACUGAUCUGAGACAUUGAAAGGAUUCUCGUUACAGCACAUCAGGGAUUUCAACCUAAUUUCGACUUUGGGACAAUCAGAAUACUUGGUUACAGACAAGACAUUGAAAGACUUGAAGGGAUGACUCUGAAGAAGAAUCAUACGGACUCAAAAUGUUAAUUCUGUUUUUUUUACUCUCCACGGAUGCUGUUAGACCUGCUGAGUUUUUCCAGCAUUUUAUGGUUUUAUUGCCCUUGAACUGAGCCGCUUGUCACAUCAUAAGAAGUUAAGAGUCAACCACAUUGCUGUGGGUCUGGAAUCACACGUAGGCCAGAUCAGGUUUGCAACUCAAUUUGUGUUGGAGAUUGAAGAGAAUCUGAUCUCAAAAUAAGGUCACAAAGCAGCAGAUAUUGCCAAUCCCCAGUUACCUGUGGAGAAGAUGAUGUUUGACCUUCUUGAAUCGCUGCAGUCCGUGUGGUGGAAGGUGCUCCCACAAUGCUCUUAGUUUCACAGGAUAUUAGAAGGGGAGGAUUUGCAGUCAGAGAACAGCAUCUGAAGGAGUUGCCCAAUACAUUGUAGCCUGAAUAGCACAACAUUUUGAACAUGGAAGGAAAAAGCACUGUUCAAAUUGGAGAGAAACUGUGGAAAUGUGGGGACUGUGAGGAGAGAUUCAGUUACUCAUGUCAGCGAGAAACUCAUCGACGCAUUCACACUGGGGAAAGACCGUUCACCUGCUCCGUGUGUGGGAAGGGAUUCUCUCGAUCAUCCCAGCUGAUUACACACCAGCGAAUUCACACCGGGGAGAAACCAUUCACCUGCUUCGAGUGUGGGAAGGGAUUCACUCAGUUAUCCAACCUGCUGAGGCACCAGCGAGUUCACACUGGGGAGAGACCUUUUAAAUGCCCAGAUUGUGGGAAAUGCUCUAAAAGUUCAUGGGAACUGCUGCUCCAUCAACGUGUUCACACUGACAAGAGACCAUUUAGGUGCUCUCACUGUGGGACUGGGUUCAAGCGAUCAUCUCACCUCACUGUACACCAGCGAGUUCACACUGGUGAGAAACCGUUCAC